UCCCUCUCAUUCUCUCUGUCUGCCUCUCUUGCCUUCUUGUGAUCUCUGUCAAAUAAAUUUAAAAAAAAAUGAUGCUAUUAAAGCAAGAAUCAGUUCAUGAUCCUUGUCUUUUUAAAACUCUCCAACAGUUUCCCAUUUUCCCCACUGUAAAAGCCAAAAGCCUUCAUGAUUAGGAUAACCACACUUACCUCAUGAUUCCUCAUCUACGGUCCCACUACAGUACGCCUGUUGCCUGAGUUCAAUGUUAACAAGGUCCCCUGUGCUCAGAAGUGACCCAGGGUGCUCUCUGUGUCACAUGGCCACUCAACCCACCCACCCCCCCAAGUCCUACCCAAUAGGCAAAGCACCCUCACCUCUCCCCAUUUCCUUGCCCCAGCCUCCAAGAACGCGCUAUGGCCCAGAAGCCUUGAGCUUCCUUUGUCUCCUGGGCGCAGGUACCGACUUCUUAGUGACAUCUCCUCCACCAGUCCCAUUUAAAUUGAACCACAGCCUCCACCCCACGCCCCUUCCCUAUUCUUUUUUCUCCAUAGCACUACCACCACCUAUGUCGUGCACUUGUCUGGUUCCCUGACUACCUAGUCGCAAUGGAAAGUUAAACUCCACGAAACAGGAACUUCUGCCAUAAGCUUCGCAGCCGCAAUACAGACCCUGGCACGGGCGGGGGCGGGGCGGGGGGUGCUCCUCACGUGACUGCAGCGGGCCCCCCCCCACCCCCGACCCUCCUGCUGGGAAGGGAAGAUGGCUGCGCCCAGGGUGGCCUCAGAGAGAGAGGGCAACCAACGAGAGGGCGCCUGCCCGCUAGAGCGUCUGCGCCUCGCCUGGGUCUGCGGUUGCGUGCUGGGAAGGCGCGAAUUCUGGGGCUACGUGCGGGUCCUCCUCCCCACCAUUUUUUUUUUUAUGGAGAAAGGAAUUAGCUCAUCCUCAGAGUCGUUUGAUGUGACCUGCCUGCUGCUUCACCGCCGCUUGCGAUCCCCGGCAUCCGAGAGCGCAAGAGAGAGCAUGAGCAGGAGGAGGGCCAGAGGGAGCAGGAGAAGCAGACUCCCCACUGAUCAAGGAGCCGGAUACGGGGCUUGAUUCCAUGACCUGAGCCUAAGGCAGCCGCUUAACCAACUGAGCCACCAGUUGCCCUUCUAACAAAGUUCUUAUGAUGAAUUAAAUAUGAUAAUGUUCGCUUUUAAAAACAAAUGCAGACAUAAAUAAAUAAAAGGUAAAGUGUAAGACUUUCCUCAGCCUUUCCAAUCUAUAGUCUACUCCAACCCCCGCCCAUGGGGCAGCCUCCAUCACCAACAUACGCCAGUAAUUUCUUUAUCUCCAGCCAGAAAGCUACCUCUGAGCUCUGGACCAGUUAAGCUCAGUUCUGGUUGCCUGCAUAUCUUCCUCCCCUGUGGCCCCUGGUACUCUUGCUCCUACCUAGCCGCCCAGGUCUGAAACUGGCAUCGUGCUUGAUUUCAGUCUCCCCCACUCCCAUGACUAGGUUCAAAGACCUUCCUGCUCUAGGUGCUCGAGAACACUUCUGCCCUUUCGAGUUCUCACUGUCCUUUGGUUUCUCUGCCUUCAGUCUUGAUCCCUUUCAGCCUUUUCUCUAAAGUGAUACAAGUGGGAUCCUUCUGUACAAAUCUGAUGGGGUUGCCUAAAAACCCUUCAGUCAUUCCCAAGAUGUGCAGGACAAGCCCGCACUCCCGAAAUGUCCUAUGAUGACAGAGGCUGUCUUGCUCACCUCUUCAGCUCGUCCACUGUCACUCUCCUAGCAAUCUACACCCUGGUGUCCCAAACUCUGGCAGCUCAGGGACAAUCUCACCAUGUCCACACUUUUUUUUUUCCCCUAAAGAUUUUAUUUAUUUGACAGAGAGAGAGACAGCAAAUGAGGGAACACAAGCACAGGGAGUGGGAGAGGGAGAAGCAGGCUUCCUGCUGAGCAGGGAGCCCAAUGUGGGGCUCAAUUCUGGGACCCUGGGAUCAUGACCUGAGCCGAAAGCAGACGCUUAAUGACUGAGCCACCCAGGCACCUCAACCACCAUGUCCACACUCUUGUGUUUGCUAUUCCUUCUGCCCUUUUUUUUUUCCUGAGCAAAGANNNNNNNNNNNNNNNNNNNNNNNNNNNNNNNNNNNNNNNNNNNNNNNNNNNNNNN
RNAcentral lists this long non-coding RNA (2129 nucleotides) under Mustela putorius furo (domestic ferret). RNAcentral describes it as "lncRNA (ENSMPUG00000030177.1)". The record is from RNAcentral. Lineage: Eukaryota; Metazoa; Chordata; Mammalia; Carnivora; Mustelidae.